RNAcentral lists this ribosomal RNA (446 nucleotides) under uncultured bacterium. RNAcentral's name for it is "SSU rRNA". It matches the Rfam family "Bacterial small subunit ribosomal RNA", at positions 26 to 518 of the family's 1533-position model. The record is from RNAcentral.
AGAACGAACGCUGGCGGCAUGCCUAACACAUGCAAGUCGAACGAGACCUUCGGGUCUAGUGGCGCACGGGUGCGUAACGCGUGGGAAUCUGCCCUUAGGUUCGGAAUAACUCAGAGAAAUUUGAGCUAAUACCGGAUGAUGACGUAAGUCCAAAGAUUUAUCGCCUAGGGAUGAGCCCGCGUAAGAUUAGGUAGUUGGUGGGGUAAAGGCCUACCAAGCCGACGAUCUUUAGCUGGUCUGAGGGGAUGAUCAGCCACACUGGGACUGAGACACGGCCCAGACUCCUACGGGAGGCAGCAGUGGGGAAUAUUGGACAAUGGGCGAAAGCCUGAUCCAGCAAUGCCGCGUGAGUGAUGAAGGCCUUAGGGUUGUAAAGCUCUUUUACCCGGGAUGAUAAUGACAGUACCGGGAGAAUAAGCCCCGGCUAACUCCGUGCCAGCAGCCGC